AUGUUAAGGACAAGAGGUCAUAUUUUUAGUAGUGUUUCUAAUGUAGUUUGGUCAAAACUCCCAAACAUGUGGAUGGAGCAAUUGGGUAGGCCUCCCAUAUAAGAAUGCAUACGCAUACCUUAAAAAAGUUGGUUUAGCCAGAAUUUAGCAAUCAUUCAAACAAAAGACAAAAAGGAAAGAAAUUGAAACUUGGUAUAAAUACCGGAACGUCCAACAUAUGUUCAAAGAGUCAAGCAUCGGAUUAUUGAGCUUGU
This 254-nucleotide long non-coding RNA is filed under the name Setaria viridis. Its description in RNAcentral is "long non-coding RNA (SVIR_LNC004806)". Lineage: Eukaryota; Viridiplantae; Streptophyta; Magnoliopsida; Poales; Poaceae. The record is from RNAcentral.